UAGGGAAUCUUCGGCAAUGGGGGCAACCCUGACCGAGCAACGCCGCGUGAGUGAAGAAGGUUUUCGGAUCGUAAAGCUCUGUUGUAAGAGAAGAACGUGUGUGAGAGUGGAAAGUUCACACAGUGACGGUAACUUACCAGAAAGGGACGGCUAACUACGUGCCAGCAGCCGCGGUAAUACGUAGGUCCCGAGCGUUGUCCGGAUUUAUUGGGCGUAAAGCGAGCGCAGGUGGUUUAAUAAGUCUGAAGUUAAAGGCAGUGGCUUAACCAUUGUUCGCUUUGGAAACUGUUAAACUUGAGUGCAGAAGGGGAGAGUGGAAUUCCAUGUGUAGCGGUGAAAUGCGUAGAUAUAUGGAGGAACACCGGUGGCGAAAGCGGCUCUCUGGUCUGUAACUGACGCUGAGGCUCGAAAGCGUGGGGAGCAAACAGG
RNAcentral lists this ribosomal RNA (429 nucleotides) under bacterium. Its description in RNAcentral is "partial 16S ribosomal RNA". It matches the Rfam family "Bacterial small subunit ribosomal RNA", at positions 355 to 776 of the family's 1533-position model. The record is from RNAcentral.